RNAcentral lists this ribosomal RNA (111 nucleotides) under Ochotona princeps (American pika). Lineage: Eukaryota; Metazoa; Chordata; Mammalia; Lagomorpha; Ochotonidae. The record is from RNAcentral.
CCGUACCACCCUGAAUGUGCCCGAUCUCAUCUGAUCUUGGAAGCUAAGCCGGGUCGGGCCUAGUUAGUACAUAUACCACAGGGUACUGUGAGGAUUAAGCAACACAACGGA